GCGGGUGGGAGUUUGCACAGGCCACGCUGGGAGGGGAACCACAGGACCUCACGUUGGCACACGAUGGGGAUUGGAAACCUGCCAUUGUACUAUACUGGAUUUUCCUUCAAAAUAAACUACAGUCAGAACAGCUGGAGCAUGUCCUACUGGAUAGUUUCUACACUCUCUUUUCUGCAAAAUCCCUCAGCUUUCCUCACCCUGUACUUACAAAGAGCUGAUAUGACCUGGGGAAAACCCUUAUUUUACCAAACGUCAGUUCACACAUAUCUUAC
Molecule: long non-coding RNA, 272 nt
Organism: Manacus vitellinus (golden-collared manakin)
Lineage: Eukaryota; Metazoa; Chordata; Aves; Passeriformes; Pipridae
Source: Ensembl